GUCUGACCGAGCAACGCCGCGUGAGUGAAGAAGGUUUUCGGAUCGUAAAACUCUGUUGUUAGAGAAGAACAAGGAUGAGAGUAGAACGUUCAUCCCUUGACGGUAUCUAACCAGAAAGCCACGGCUAACUACGUGCCAGCAGCCGCGGUAAUACGUAGGUGGCAAGCGUUGUCCGGAUUUAUUGGGCGUAAAGCGAGCGCAGGCGGUUUCUUAAGUCUGAUGUGAAAGCCCCCGGCUCAACCGGGGAGGGUCAUUGGAAACUGGGAGACUUGAGUGCAGAAGAGGAGAGUGGAAUUCCAUGUGUAGCGGUGAAAUGCGUAGAUAUAUGGAGGAACACCAGUGGCGAAGGCGGCUCUCUGGUCUGUAACUGACGCUGAGGCUCGAAAGCGUGGGGAGCGAACAGGAUUAGAUACCCUGGUAGUCCACGCCGUAAACGAUGAGUGCUAAGUGUUGGAGGGUUUCCGCCCUUCAGUGCUGCAGCAAACGCAUUAAGCACUCCGCCUGGGGAGUACGACCGCAAGGUUGAAACUCAAAGGAAUUGACGGGGGCCCGCACAAGCGGUGGAGCAUGUGGUUUAAUUCGAAGCAACGCGAAGAACCUUACCAGGUCUUGACAUCCUUUGACCACUCUAGAGAU
RNAcentral lists this ribosomal RNA (636 nucleotides) under Enterococcus sp. Se1Pt_1556. Its description in RNAcentral is "bacterial SSU rRNA". It matches the Rfam family "Bacterial small subunit ribosomal RNA", at positions 381 to 1007 of the family's 1533-position model. Lineage: Bacteria; Bacillati; Bacillota; Bacilli; Lactobacillales; Enterococcaceae. The record is from RNAcentral.